UUGCUGUGUAUCCGGUUAGACCCGCGCAUGCGUGUGCGGUCAGACGGCGCCAUCAUGCCGGAGGGGAAGGGAACGAUCCGGGAGGUGCUGCCCAAACAAGGGCAGCUGGCGGCGGAGGACACGGCCGGCAUGGUGCUGUGCAAGCCCAAAGUGCUGCCCCUCAAGUCGGUGUCGCUGGAGAAGCUGGAGCAGCUGCAGCGCGCAGCGAUGGAGGCGAUGGAAGCGUCGCGGCCGCCCGAGGGCUCUGCGGGCUCCCAACCGCGGCCAUAAGCGGAGUAACAGAAUUUUUCACUUUUCCAGUUACAUAGAAAAAAAGGAGCGGUUUGGUACGUGCUGGCUGGAACAUCUCAAACUGACCAGUGGAACAGGUGAAUUUGGCCAAUGAGCCAGCGCGCUCUUCUUGGGCUCUUUAAGACAAAGAAACAGCUAUUUUCCCUCCCAACGCACAGUAUUUCAUCAGCAGCAACUGAGGGGAUGAGAGCAGCUCAACCUGAGCCCCUGCUAGAAAGCUCUGUACAGAUCAGGGAUUUAUUUCCCAUUGAAAACACUGUCCUUGAAAGAAACAGCGGCAGUCAGACGUGGAUGCAAACAUGGAAUGAUCACUUAUGGCACUUAUAAAAGGUAGCUUAUCUGAAGGCACCGCCACAACGGAGCGGCCAGUUGGUCUGUUUGGAUGCCCAAAGAAAGAACUUUUCUUUCUGAAAUCUAUAAAACUCUUAAAAAAAAAACAAAAACAAAAAAAAAAAAAACCAACUGAUCUGUACCCAAAACACGUGCUCUUAAAAAUAUAGCAACUGUGCUAAGCAACUCGUAGAAAUUUGGUAUACAAUACAUGCAUAUACGUAUAUACAGGCACACGGACCAAAAAAGGCCUGUGUGUCUGUAUAUAUCUAUAUAGAUGCCUCUCUUUUGUCUCUUUCCCUUUCAACUUCUAAGGCUUCAGCAGUUGGUUCCGACAUUCAGUAGCUUUCUAGUUUCAGCCGGCCUCCAUCUCCUUCACUCACAAAGCGCUUCCUGCCCCUGGAAAACAACACAAAGUCUAUUAUCAGCAAGUCUGUGGUAGCAUCACUUCUGUCAGUGGGAAGAAUCUUCUCUUGGUCUCGAGUUAAAUGUGAGACUGAAACACAAGCUCAAAACUCCUGUCUGUAUAUUCCUGAGAGCUGAAGCAUCAUGAAGCUUUUGUUGCAGCAAUGACUUUCGGCCCUACCGAACCCUCAGUGCAAGCUGAUGUCGAGAUUCAAACUGGAAGAUAUUGAACAGACAGCAUUUCUGGUGCAGAAUAUCAUGGAUAGUUUUAACAUCGACAUUUACACAUCAAACUUAAAGGUUUGUCUGCAUCAUUAAAACUCCUGGAUCUUCCAUCUCAGCACUGCGCUGAUCUCUGCCAAGUGAGCAAAACUGAGAGGAGAUGCAGGCCUUCAUGUGCUGCAGCAGUCAGACACGCUGCCAGGGAUUCCAACAGCAGCUUCCUUCCCUCACAUAUGUAUCAACCCUGUUCUCUUUGUUCCUCCAUCUCCCCUGGUCUCUGUACCAACCCGUCACACCCAGGUUAUAAGAUCCUGCUUCCAAACUGAGCUCCAGCACCUCUCUGUAAUAAAACAAGUACCUGGAAGGACAAAGGUCUCUCAGUGGUUUGGAGAUGAUUCCAGCCUGAAAACAUUCCUCCACAAACCGCUCGAGCACAGAAUAGGAGUGUGGCACAUCCAGGUUAAUAUCUGGUAUUUCACAGUAAACUCGUUCGUAGCCCUGUAGUUUAAGAAAGCAAAUAAUUAUUUGGUUGUUCUAAAAUUACAAUUUUUUAACCA
Non-coding RNA from Coturnix japonica (Japanese quail), 1805 nucleotides. NCBI's taxonomy places the organism in Eukaryota, Metazoa, Chordata, Aves, Galliformes, Phasianidae. The record is from RefSeq and is a predicted model, not a curated record.